AGAAUCAACGCUGGCGGCGUGCCUAACACAUGCAAGUCGAACGAGAAAGGGGAGCAAUCCCUGAGUACAGUGGCGACCGGGUGAGUAACACGUGACCAAUCUACCUUCGAGUGGGGGAUAACUCCGGGAAACCGGGCUAAUACCGCAUAACAUCUUUGGAAUGCAAAUUCCGUUGAUCAAAGGAGCAAUUCGCUUGAAGAGGAGGUCGCGGCUGAUUAGCUAGUUGGCGGGGUAAUGGCCCACCAAGGCGAAGAUCGGUAUCCGGCCUGAGAGGGCGCACGGACACACUGGAACUGAAACACGGUCCAGACUCCUACGGAGGCAGCAGUGGGGAAUUUUGCGCAAUGGGGAAACCCUGACGCAGCAACGCCGCGUGGAGGAUGAAGUCCCUUGGGACGUAAACUCCUUUCGACCAAGACGAUAAUGACGGUACUGGUGGAAGAAGCACCGGCUAACUCUGCGCCAGCAGCCGC
RNAcentral lists this ribosomal RNA (473 nucleotides) under uncultured bacterium. RNAcentral's name for it is "SSU rRNA". It matches the Rfam family "Bacterial small subunit ribosomal RNA", at positions 26 to 518 of the family's 1533-position model. The record is from RNAcentral.